RNAcentral lists this microRNA (22 nucleotides) under Drosophila ananassae. RNAcentral's name for it is "Dan-Novel-12-P1_3p (mature (co-guide))". The record is from RNAcentral. Lineage: Eukaryota; Metazoa; Arthropoda; Insecta; Diptera; Drosophilidae.
GAUUUGUUUCGGCAGCUUUUGG